RNAcentral lists this ribosomal RNA (238 nucleotides) under Glomeromycotina sp. Its description in RNAcentral is "partial small subunit ribosomal RNA". The stretch from base 40 to 238 matches the Rfam family "Eukaryotic small subunit ribosomal RNA", at positions 686 to 886 of the family's 1831-position model. The record is from RNAcentral. Lineage: Eukaryota; Fungi; Glomeromycota.
GGGUCAGUAGGUUGGUCGUGCCACCGGUACGUACUGGUCUCACUGAUUCCUCCUUCCUGAAGAACCGUAAUGCCAUUAAUUUGGUGUUGCGGGGAAACAGGACUGUUACUUUGAAAAAAUUAGAGUGUUUAAAGCAAGCUAACGCUUGAAUACAUUAGCAUGGAAUAAUGAAAUAGGACGAUCGAUCCUAUUUUGUUGGUUUCUAGGAUUGACGUAAUGUUUAAUAGGAAUAGUUGGG